This 346-nucleotide unclassified non-coding RNA is filed under the name soil metagenome. RNAcentral describes it as "partial contains 5.8S ribosomal RNA, internal transcribed spacer 2, and large subunit ribosomal RNA". The stretch from base 1 to 120 matches the Rfam family "5.8S ribosomal RNA", at positions 35 to 154 of the family's 154-position model. The record is from RNAcentral.
GAUGAAGAACGUAGCAAAAUGCGAUAAGUAAUGUGAAUUGCAGAAUUCAGUGAAUCAUCGAAUCUUUGAACGCACAUUGCGCCCGCCAGUAUUCUGGCGGGCAUGCCUGUUCGAGCGUCAUUUCAACCCUCAAGCCCUCGGGUUUGGUGUUGGGGAUCGGCGAGCCUUUCUGGCAAGCCGGCCCCGAAAUCUAGUGUCGGUCUCGCUGCAGCCUCCAUUGCGUAGUAGUAAAACCCUCGCAACUGGAACGCGGCGCGGCCAAGCCGUUAAACCCCCAACUUCUGAAUGUUGACCUCGGAUCAGGUAGGAAUACCCGCUGAACUUAAGCAUAUCAAUAAGCGGAGGA